RNAcentral lists this ribosomal RNA (542 nucleotides) under Triticum aestivum (bread wheat). Its description in RNAcentral is "partial small subunit ribosomal RNA". Lineage: Eukaryota; Viridiplantae; Streptophyta; Magnoliopsida; Poales; Poaceae. The record is from RNAcentral.
GGACUUGUGAUUAAUCCAGGUAGUUGUAUCUCUUUGCUACAAUCCGAAGAAGUGGAGGGCAAGGAAAUUGAAUCUUAUUUACUGUCUGUACAAGACUAGAGUCAAUUGGAUUGCUGCUGGGAGAGCUCCAGUCAAGAUGGCGUUGCACAACAUUGGUGCUUCGAACAAGGAUGAUGCCUUGUACAGGUGCAAGAUGCCCAGAAUCUUAACCGAAAUGCAAAGUUGUGUUAGGCAUCAACAUGAGGGAACGAAGAGCGAACAGGAGGCCACCUACUCACGCAACAGCCACACUCCACCGUCGUUCUUCUAUCCGAAGACCCUCAAGUAUACUGCUGGAACAACACAGCUACUGAGAAAACUGUUGAAGAAGACGCAAUGGUUGCUGAUGGAGUAUACUUAGACUAGGAAUGUCAAAUCUUGCAAAUUUGAUGUUGAAUUCAUGACAACUAUUGUACCAACCUAUAGCUGAUUGCUCUCCCUGACAAUGUACUAAUUAGUAUACAAUGUAUCUUUUCCUAUCAAAUUCAUAUGGAUAAUAUAAA